CUUCACCUACGGGAGGCAGCAGUGAGGAAUAUUGGUCAAUGGGCGGGAGCCUGAACCAGCCAAGUCGCGUGAGGGAAGACGGUCCUAUGGACUGUAAACCUCCUUAGGCGGGGAGCAAUGCCGGGCACGUGUGCCCGGAGGGAGAGUACCCGCAGAAUAAGCAUCGGCUAACUCCGUGCCAGCAGCCGCGGUAAUACGGAGGAUGCGAGCGUUAUCCGGAUUUAUUGGGUUUAAAGGGUGCGUAGGCGGAUUUUUAAGUCAGCGGUAAAAUGUCCGGGCUCAACCCGGGCCGGCCGCUGAAACUG
Molecule: ribosomal RNA, 305 nt
Filed under: uncultured bacterium
Lineage: Bacteria
Description: bacterial SSU rRNA
Rfam family: Bacterial small subunit ribosomal RNA
Source: RNAcentral